CAGCCGCCGCGGGAAUACGGAGGAUCCAAGCGUUAUCCGGAAUCAUUGGGUUUAAAGGGUCCGUAGGCGGUCUUGUAAGUCAGUGGUGAAAGCCCAUCGCUCAACGGUGGAACGGCCAUUGAUACUGCAGGACUUGAAUUAUUGGGAAGUAACUAGAAUAUGUAGUGUAGCGGUGAAAUGCUUAGAGAUUACAUGGAAUACCAAUUGCGAAGGCAGGUUACUACCAAUUGAUUGACGCUGAUGGACGAAAGCGUGGGUAGCGAACAGGAUUAGAUACCCGCGUAUCCCUGUCUCUUAUACA
RNAcentral lists this ribosomal RNA (301 nucleotides) under uncultured bacterium. Its description in RNAcentral is "partial 16S ribosomal RNA". It matches the Rfam family "Bacterial small subunit ribosomal RNA", at positions 509 to 809 of the family's 1533-position model. The record is from RNAcentral.